Long non-coding RNA from Eriocheir sinensis (Chinese mitten crab), 452 nucleotides. RefSeq lists it as uncharacterized. Lineage: Eukaryota; Metazoa; Arthropoda; Malacostraca; Decapoda; Varunidae. The transcript has 4 exons. The record is from RefSeq and is a predicted model, not a curated record.
UGAACCUGAAGAAACACCUAUUUGACAAGGCUUUCCUAGGAGUUGUGGGCAUUUCCAGGGGUAGUUUUAUGACCCUGGUGGUAGUUUGACCCUUCCUCUGUACCAUGAACCUGAAGAAACACCUAUUUGACAAGGCUUUCCUAGGAGUUGUGGGCAUUUCCAGGGGUAGUUUUAUGACCCUGGUGGUAGUUUGACCCUUCCUCUGUACCAUGAGCCUGAAGAAACACCUAUUUGACAAGGCUUUCCUAGGAGUUGUGGGCAUUUCCAGGGGUAGUUUUAUGACCCUGGUGGUAGUUUGACCCUUCCUCUGUACCAUGAACCUGAAGAAACACCUAUUUGACAAGGCUUUCCUAGGAGUUGUGGGCAUUUCCAGGGGUAGUUUUAUGACCCUGGUGGUAGUUUGACCCUUCCUCUGUACCAUGAACCUGAAGAAACACCUAUUUGACAAGGCU